AAAAAUUUAAUGGCUGCAGUAUUUUAACUGUACAAAGGUAGCAUAAUAAUUAGUUCUUUAAUUAAGGACUGGAAUGAAGGAUUGAACGAGAUAAAAAUUGUCUCUUUUUAAAUUUUAUAAUUUUAUUUUUAAGUUAAAAAGCUUAAAUAAUAUUAAAAGACGAGAAGACCCUAUAGAGUUUUAUAAUUAUAUUAUAUUUAAAUUUUAGAAAUAAAAUUUUAUGUUUAUAUUGAUUAUUUGAUUGGGGUGAUUUUAAAAUUUAAAAAACUUUAAUAUUUUUAACAUUUAUAUAUGAUUAAUUGAUCCAUAAAUUAUGAUUAAAAGAUUAAAUUACCUUAGGGAUAACAGCGUAAUUUUUUUAAAGAGUUCUUAUCGAAAAAAAAGAUUGCGACCUCGAUGUUGGAUUAAAAUAAAUUUUUGGUGUAGAAGCUGAAAUAUUAGGUCUGUUCGACCUUUAAAAUUUUACAUGAUCUGAGUUUAAAUCGGCGUGAGCCAGGUUGGUUUCUAUCUUUAAUUAAAUAGAAUAUUUUAGUACGAAAGGACCAAAUAUUCAUAAAAUUUAUUUAUUUAUGAUUAAUAUUA
RNAcentral lists this ribosomal RNA (582 nucleotides) under Ptomaphagus fiskei. RNAcentral describes it as "partial 16S ribosomal RNA". The stretch from base 341 to 499 matches the Rfam family "Bacterial large subunit ribosomal RNA", at positions 2473 to 2632 of the family's 2925-position model. Lineage: Eukaryota; Metazoa; Arthropoda; Insecta; Coleoptera; Leiodidae. The record is from RNAcentral.